Long non-coding RNA from Quercus lobata, 660 nucleotides. RefSeq lists it as uncharacterized. Lineage: Eukaryota; Viridiplantae; Streptophyta; Magnoliopsida; Fagales; Fagaceae. The transcript has 3 exons. The record is from RefSeq and is a predicted model, not a curated record.
AAAAAAUAAAAAAGAUAGCCCCUCAUCUAUUUCUCUCUCCAGUCUCUAUGCUUUGCCUUUGGAGUCAAGUACCUUCUCCUUUGUCUCCGCUCCCAUCUGAGACAAUCUUUUUCUGCCGAUGGUAAGCGAUUAAAAGUAAAUAGAGAGAUUUGUUUUCUCUUUGUUUCACCUUCAUUUUAAUUGACAACCAAUUUCCUAUUGGUUUUUUGUGAGCUUUGCAAAAUUGGGAUUGAAGAAGCAAAAUCAAGAUGCCGUGGACGUCCUCUUUUGAUUCAAAUUCGUAAAAGCUUUCUUACUAUAUUUCUCUCUCCAUGUGGUGUGAGAUUAGUCAUAGUUGGGAGACCACCAUUGCAUCGAUUACUCUCUACCUAUCCAUCAUUUCUCACCAACACAUCUCUUGAAUCCGAGGUACUUAAUGGGAUUUUGUAGAAUUUUUGGUGUUUUGGUUGCUUUUAGUUCAAGUGAAUUCCAUGAGGUGAAUUUCAUGUAAGAUGUUGUUAAGAUUUGCAAUAGAAAUUAGAUGUGCAGUUGACCUGAAGCACUUGUAUAACCUUUGUUCAAACAAUAAUGAGCCAUCAUAGCCAGUGAGUGAGAUGUAAUGAACUCUCUAACCAUUGGCAUUAUUGUUAAGUUUUUUCAUCUUUCUUUGUAAAAAUUCAU